Molecule: ribosomal RNA, 404 nt
Filed under: Actinomycetes bacterium
Lineage: Bacteria; Bacillati; Actinomycetota; Actinomycetes
Description: Actinobacteria bacterium partial 16S ribosomal RNA
Rfam family: Bacterial small subunit ribosomal RNA
Source: RNAcentral
UGGGGAAUAUUGGACAAUGGGCGCAAGCCUGAUCCAGCCAUGCCGCGUGAGUGAUGAAGGCCCUAGGGUUGUAAAGCUCUUUCACCGGUGAAGAUAAUGACGGUAACCGGAGAAGAAGCCCCGGCUAACUUCGUGCCAGCAGCCGCGGUAAUACGAAGGGGGCUAGCGUUGUUCGGAUUUACUGGGCGUAAAGCGCACGUAGGCGGACUUUUAAGUCAGGGGUGAAAUCCCGGGGCUCAACCCCGGAACUGCCUUUGAUACUGGAAGUCUUGAGUAUGGUAGAGGUGAGUGGAAUUCCGAGUGUAGAGGUGAAAUUCGUAGAUAUUCGGAGGAAAACCAGUGGCGAAGGCGGCUCACUGGACAAUUACUGACGCUGAGGUGCGAAAGCGUGGGGAGCAAACAGG